AUUGAACGCUGGCGGCAGGCCUAACACAUGCAAGUCGAGCGGAUGAAGGGAGCUUGCUCCUGGAUUCAGCGGCGGACGGGUGAGUAAUUCCUAGGAAUCUGCCUGGUAGUGGGGGAUAACGUCCGGAAACGGGCGCUAAUACCGCAUACGUCCUGAUUGAGAAAGUGGGGGAUCUUCGGACCUCACGCUAUCAGAUGAGCCUAGGUCGGAUUAGCUAGUUGGUUGGGUAAAGGCCUACCAAGGCGACGAUCCGUAACUGGUCUGAGAGGAUGAUCAGUCACACUGGAACUGAGACACGGUCCAGACUCCUACGGGAGGCAGCAGUGGGGAAUAUUGGACAAUGGGCGAAAGCCUGAUCCAGCCAUGCCGCGUGUGUGAAGAAGGUCUUCGGAUUGUAAAGCACUUUAAGUUGGGAGGAAGGGCAGUAAGUUAAUACCUUGCUGUUUUGACGUUACCAACAGAAUAAGCACCGGCUAACUUCGUG
Molecule: ribosomal RNA, 484 nt
Filed under: uncultured bacterium
Lineage: Bacteria
Description: partial 16S ribosomal RNA
Rfam family: Bacterial small subunit ribosomal RNA
Source: RNAcentral